Molecule: long non-coding RNA, 1257 nt
Filed under: Scophthalmus maximus (turbot)
Lineage: Eukaryota; Metazoa; Chordata; Actinopteri; Pleuronectiformes; Scophthalmidae
Description: lncRNA (ENSSMAG00000033670.1)
Source: RNAcentral
AUGAACAGAAAUAAAAUCGAGGUCGCCGGGCAGCCGGAGCUCCAGAGGACGGCUUCCCCCGGCCAGCAGCAGCAGCAGCAGCAGCCCAGCGGGAAGUCGGUCUCUAAAGAUGGACGGACAACACAGAUCCAGACGCAGACUGAGGACUUCUCCAGAGCCACAGAGGACUCCCAGGCGGAGGAGAAGACGCACAGUGACGAGCCUCCUCCUCCGCGUCCUCCCCUCUCUGAGCCCACAGUCGGAGGGAAAAGGGAAACGGAACACAGCGGUGAAACCGCAGGAAGGUGUGUUGGUGAAGACGAGGUCAAAGGUCAGACUGAGCUCGCGGCGCCUCGCGGAGAAACGGGCCGUGCCGCCGCCUCGGAGGAUCGGCGGGAACGCGUCCGGACGCCGCCGCAGCCCAACGCUGUGUACGGAUCAGGCUUAGUGCAGCAUUUCAACAUUUCCCUCCCUGCGAGAGAGGAGAGCGGCGUUUCCCCCCGGGCCUGGAGAAACCAGGAAGUUAUUGUUAGUUUUAGGACAGCGAACGACCACAUGGGGCGAGUCUCAAGCCCCGACGUGGAAACUCUAUCCCCAGGCUGCGAUGAAACAAACACACAUUUUCAACUUUGCCACUGCGGAGGGCCGAGAGCGGGAGGCAACGCAGGCUCACACCGGGUCAGAGGUCGAGGGGAACCAUCUCCCACCAACACAGCUCGUCUCCGUCCGCCGGACGGCACGCGUCGACCUCCGACGCCCCCGAAGCGCGGCGCGUUUCCCGGGCAUUCCACCACGAGACGCAGUCGUGGCGGCGGCUGUGGCGGUGGCGGCGGCGGCGGCGGCAGCGAGGAUGGAGAUCACCCAUCCACACGGUGUCACCAGUUUCCCAAGCUCCCGUCCCUUCCUCCCGGCCUCGGCACUCACGAUUCCCAUUGGAAUCCACCGGAGGGUGAUUGUGCCAGCGACGCUCCCGGCGAGGCCGAGGAGGGACGCAUGUCCUCGGGGGAAGUGAGGCAGGACCAGACACUUGGACCUGGGCCAGGGGCUCAGCAUCGAUCGAACAGAGGAAACAACACUCUGGGUAACUUGGACAUAAACUAUAUUAAACAGGUAUUAGGGAUAUUUUUAAUUAUUUUCUUUAAAUUGUUAUUUUCCUUGGUGGGAAAAUUACUUGGAAGUGUAUUUGGAGCUGAUUGGUCUGAGGUCAAGUUCAACAAAGAAUACUGUAUUUCCCGAAAGGCACAUGGUUCCAAUAUAUCUCAAAUAAUUGGGCAAUAG